UACGUAGGGGGCAAGCGUUAUCCGGAAUUAUUGGGCGUAAAGCGCGCGCAGGCGGUUAAUUAAGUCAGAUGUGAAAGGCUACGGCUCAACCGUAGAGUUGCAUUUGAAACUGGUUAACUUGAGUGCAGGAGAGGUAAGUGGAAUUCCCGGUGUAGCGGUGGAAUGCGUAGAGAUCGGGAGGAACACCAGUGGCGAAGGCGGCUUACUGGCCUGCAACUGACGCUGAGGCGCGAAAGCGUGGGGAGCGAACAGG
Molecule: ribosomal RNA, 253 nt
Filed under: uncultured bacterium
Lineage: Bacteria
Description: partial 16S ribosomal RNA
Rfam family: Bacterial small subunit ribosomal RNA
Source: RNAcentral